Molecule: ribosomal RNA, 484 nt
Filed under: uncultured bacterium
Lineage: Bacteria
Description: partial 16S ribosomal RNA
Rfam family: Bacterial small subunit ribosomal RNA
Source: RNAcentral
AUUGAACGCUGGCGGCAGGCCUAACACAUGCAAGUCGAGCGGAUGAAGGGAGCUUGCUCCUGGAUUCAGCGGCGGACGGGUGAGUAAUGCCUAGGAAUCUGCCUGGUAGUGGGGGAUAACGUCCGGAAACGGGCGCUAACACCGCAUACGUCCUGAGGGAGAAAGUGGGGGAUCUUCGGACCUCACGCUAUCAGAUGCGCCUAGGUCGGCUUAGCUAGUUGGUGGGGUAAAGGCCUACCAAGGCGACGAUCCGUAACUGGUCUGAGAGGAUGAUCAGCCACACUGGAACUGAGACACGGUCCAGACUCCUACGGGAUGCAGCAGUGGGGAAUAUUGGACAAUGGGCGAAAGCCUGAUCCAGCCAUGCCGCGUGUGUGAAGAAGGUGUUCGGAUUGUAAAGCACUUUAAGUUGGGAGGAAGGGCAGUAAGUUAAUACCUUGCUGUUUUGACGUUACCAACAGAAUAAGCACCGGCUAACUUCGUG